GUGCAAAGAUUUCCCUACACACACACCUCUGUAUUCACACACACGUGCAAUCACAACCUUGCACAGCCCUGUGUGCGCACUCCAUCCAUGUGCACACAAAAGUGUGAUAAAACAAAAGGCCUUGUGCAAAGACCUUGAUGCACUCUCCCGUGUUCAUGCAUACACACACAUGCGUGCACGACAUCCCUUUGCACACCCACGUGCACGAUGACACAAGCACUGCUCCGGCCUUGCACACAGCCAUGUGCAUGCACACACAUGCAAAACUUUCACCUGCAAGCACUGUGCACACAGCCACGCGCAAUGCACGCUCUGAUGUUCAGCACCAUCUCUGCACACCCCCGUAUGCACGCAUACCUGCACUCACAGCUCGAGGACAAAAUGCUGCUGGCACGGCACAGCCAACACGCAGGCGGUGGGCAAUGUCAGGAGGAAAGUCGCCCCCUUACGCUCAUUCAUUCUCCUCUCUUGAAUGAACGCAUCGGGGCACAGCUGGAGCCCCAUCCUGAGAUGUGUUGUGCUGUGGGGUUCCUCGUCGGUGGGAUAUGGGGAUCCUGGGAUGGUGAUGGCGGUCCUCUCAGAAACUGUGGGAGUCCGAGAAGCCGGGGCGGAGGGGGCUGAAGAGGUUAAGGAUGUCUGAAGGAGGAAAUAGGGGAGUUCAGUGGGAGCUCAGAGGGGGACGUGGGGUGCUGCUGGGGACUGUGGAGCUCUGUGAGGUCCCUGGUUGCUGGGGGGAGGUGUACCGGGAGAAGGUCCUUGAGGAGCUAUGGGGCUCUGUGGGGGUUGUGGGAGGGAUAUAGGGACAUCGGGGGAUAUGGGAACACAGGCUGCAGGAGCAGAAUGCUGUCCAAGAGAAGACAAGAUGUGGGCUGCAGGAGGGACACAGGGGCAUGGGGUAGUAUGGAGACGUAGGGGGUAUGGGAGUAUGUGGGGAGCGGUUUAAGGUAAAAAGAGGAGAGGGAGUGUGGGGCAGUGUUGGAGUGGUUUCAUUUCAUCCAGAGAGGAGACUGGGGGUCCCUGUGGCCCAAAGGUGGGGCCCUGAGCCGUAACCCCACAUGAGCCAUAACCCAAGAUGACCUCAUCGCCCUCUAUGUGCGUGACCCCAUGGCUGCAUGUGACCCACAGCCCUGGGGGAACAAUACCCCCACGUGACCCUGUGACUCCCUGACUCUGCCUGCCCCCAUCACGCUGCAACCCAACGCCAUGUGGCCCAUAACUCUGGGAUCCCUGCCCCCA
Molecule: long non-coding RNA, 1236 nt
Filed under: Gallus gallus (chicken)
Lineage: Eukaryota; Metazoa; Chordata; Aves; Galliformes; Phasianidae
Description: lncRNA (ENSGALG00010028943.1)
Source: RNAcentral